GACGAACGCUGGCGGCGUGCCUAAUACAUGCAAGUCGAACGCUUCUUUCCUCCCGAGUGCUUGCACUCAAUUGGAAAGAGGAGUGGCGGACGGGUGAGUAACACGUGGGUAACCUACCCAUCAGAGGGGGAUAACACUUGGAAACAGGUGCUAAUACCGCAUAACAGUUUAUGCCGCAUGGCAUAAGAGUGAAAGGCGCUUUCGGGUGUCGCUGAUGGAUGGGCCCGCGGUGCAUUAGCUAGUUGGUGAGGUAACGGCUCACCAAGUCCACGAUGCAUAGACGACCUGAGAGGGUGAUCGGCAACACGGGAACUGAGACACGGUCCAGACUACGACGGGAGGCAGAAGGAGGGAAUAUGCGGCAAGGGGCGAAAUCCUGAAGGAGCAACGCCGCGUGAGUGAAGAAGGUCUUCGGAGCGGAAAACUCGGUUAUUAGGGAAGAAAAUAUGUGUAAGGAACUGUGCAGAUCUUGACGGUACCUAAUCAGAAAGCCACGGCUAACUACGUG
Molecule: ribosomal RNA, 508 nt
Filed under: uncultured bacterium
Lineage: Bacteria
Description: partial 16S ribosomal RNA
Rfam family: Bacterial small subunit ribosomal RNA
Source: RNAcentral